This 378-nucleotide ribosomal RNA is filed under the name uncultured Phormidium sp. Its description in RNAcentral is "bacterial SSU rRNA". It matches the Rfam family "Bacterial small subunit ribosomal RNA", at positions 356 to 748 of the family's 1533-position model. The record is from RNAcentral. Lineage: Bacteria; Bacillati; Cyanobacteriota; Cyanophyceae; Oscillatoriales; Oscillatoriaceae.
GGGGAAUUUUCCGCAAUGGGCGAAAGCCUGACGGAGCAAGACCGCGUGGGGGAGGAAGGCCUUUGGGUUGUAAACCCCUUUUGUUAGGGAAGAAAAAAAUGACGGUACCUAACGAAUCAGCCUCGGCUAACUCCGUGCCAGCAGCCGCGGUAAUACGGAGGAGGCAAGCGUUAUCCGGAAUUAUUGGGCGUAAAGCGUCCGUAGGUGGCCCGGCAAGUCUGCUGUCAAAGACCACAGCUCAACUGUGGAAAGGCAGUGGAAACUGCAAGGCUAGAGUGCGGUAGGGGUAGAGGGAAUUCCCAGUGUAGCGGUGAAAUGCGUAGAGAUUGGGAAGAACACCGGUGGCGAAAGCGCUCUACUGGGCCGCAACUGACACUG